RNAcentral lists this ribosomal RNA (466 nucleotides) under uncultured bacterium. RNAcentral describes it as "SSU rRNA". It matches the Rfam family "Bacterial small subunit ribosomal RNA", at positions 26 to 518 of the family's 1533-position model. The record is from RNAcentral.
AGGACUAACGCUGGCGGCGUGCCUAACACAUGCAAGUCGAACGAGAGUAGCAAUACUCUAGUGGCAGACGGGUGAGUAACACGUGGUCAACCUACCUUUAAGUGGGGGAUAACUAGCCGAAAGGUUAGCUAAUACCGCAUACGAUCUUCGCGUGGCAUCACAUGAAGAUGAAAGGAGCAAUCCGCUGAAAGACGGGACCGCGUCCCAUUAGCCAGUUGGUGGGGUAACGGCCUACCAAAGCAACGAUGGGUAGCUGGCUUGAGAGAGCGACCAGCCACACUGGGACUGAGACACGGCCCAGACUCCUACGGGAGGCAGCAGUGAGGAAUUUUCCGCAAUGGGCGAAAGCCUGACGGAGCGACGCCGCGUGUGGGAUGAAGGCCUUCGGGUCGUAAACCACUGUCGAAGGGGAAGAUAUUGACGGUACCCUUGGAGGAAGCCCGGCUAACUACGCGCCAGCAGCCGC